CCCAGAGCUUGAAGCAGGCCAGCAAGGGCCUGCAGGGUACAAUGAACCCCGUCCCGCGGGGCCGGCGGAGGCGGGCGGCCAGCCGGAGGGCCGGCCGAAGCCGCCGUAGCCGGGGCCACCCGGCGAGGCCCGGAAGGGAGCAGCCGACCCCGGCCGACCGGCGUUCGCGGGGGGAACGGGGGGAGAAGCCCUGCAGGGUAACCCUCUGGCCUGCUUCAAACUCUGGG
This 227-nucleotide signal recognition particle RNA is filed under the name Aeropyrum pernix K1. RNAcentral describes it as "Archaeal signal recognition particle RNA". It matches the Rfam family "Archaeal signal recognition particle RNA", at positions 68 to 306 of the family's 317-position model. Lineage: Archaea; Thermoproteati; Thermoproteota; Thermoprotei; Acidilobales; Acidilobaceae. The record is from Rfam by way of RNAcentral.